CGAAUGCUGACAUAAGUAACGAUAAAGCGGGUGAAAAGCCCGCUCGCCGGAAGACCAAGGGUUCCUGUCCAACGUUAAUCGGGGCAGGGUGAGUCGACCCCUAAGGCGAGGCCGAAAGGCGUAGUCGAUGGGAAACAGGUUAAUAUUCCUGUACUUGGUGUUACUGCGAAGGGGGGACGGAGAAGGCUAUGUUGGCCGGGCGACGGUUGUCCCGGUUUAAGCGUGUAGGCUGGUUUUCCAGG
This 242-nucleotide ribosomal RNA is filed under the name Escherichia coli. RNAcentral's name for it is "partial 23S ribosomal RNA". It matches the Rfam family "Bacterial large subunit ribosomal RNA", at positions 1291 to 1536 of the family's 2925-position model. The record is from RNAcentral. Lineage: Bacteria; Pseudomonadati; Pseudomonadota; Gammaproteobacteria; Enterobacterales; Enterobacteriaceae.